Molecule: ribosomal RNA, 232 nt
Filed under: uncultured bacterium
Lineage: Bacteria
Description: partial 16S ribosomal RNA
Rfam family: Bacterial small subunit ribosomal RNA
Source: RNAcentral
CGGACGGGUGAGUACUGUCUGGGAAACUGCCUGAUGGAGGGGGAUAACUACUGGAAACGGUAGCUAAUACCGCAUAACGUCGCAAGACCAAAGAGGGGGACCUUAGGGCCUCUUGCCAUCGGAUGUGCCCAGAUGGGAUUAGCUAGUAGGUGGGGUAACGGCUCACCUAGGCGACGAUCCCUAGCUGGUCUGAGAGGAUGACCAGCCACACUGGAACUGAGACACGGUCCAG